GCAUAAACACUUCAACUAAACUAUCAAUUUAAACAAAAAUUUACUGUCAACUACAGACGCUGCAUCCAUGGAUUCCGCCAUGUUUCUCAUUGACACGGCCCCAACUCGGAAACUCGGGGGUUAAAGAAAAUUUCG
Long non-coding RNA from Sinocyclocheilus anshuiensis, 135 nucleotides. RefSeq lists it as uncharacterized. NCBI's taxonomy places the organism in Eukaryota, Metazoa, Chordata, Actinopteri, Cypriniformes, Cyprinidae. The record is from RefSeq and is a predicted model, not a curated record. The transcript has 3 exons.